UAGGGAAUCUUCCGCAAUGGGCGAAAGCUUGACGGAGCAACGCCGCGUGAGUGAUGAAGGUCUUCGGAUCGUAAAACUCUGUUAUUAGGGAAGAACAAAUGUGUAAGUAACUAUGCACGUCUUGACGGUACCUAAUCAGAAAGCCACGGCUAACUACGUGCCAGCAGCCGCGGCAAUACGUAGGUGGCAAGCGUUAUCCGGAAUUAUUGGGCGUAAAGCGCGCGUAGGCGGUUUUUUAAGUCUGAUGUGAAAGCCCACGGCUCAACCGUGGAGGGUCAUUGGAAACUGGAAAACUUGAGUGCAGAAGAGGAAAGUGGAAUUCCAUGUGUAGCGGUGAAAUGCGCAGAGAUAUGGAGGAACACCAGUGGCGAAGGCGACUAUCUGGUCUGUAACUGACGCUGAUGUGCGAAAGCGUGGGGAUCAAACAGG
This 429-nucleotide ribosomal RNA is filed under the name Actinomycetes bacterium. Its description in RNAcentral is "Actinobacteria bacterium partial 16S ribosomal RNA". It matches the Rfam family "Bacterial small subunit ribosomal RNA", at positions 355 to 776 of the family's 1533-position model. The record is from RNAcentral. Lineage: Bacteria; Bacillati; Actinomycetota; Actinomycetes.